This is an RNA transcript of Phycodurus eques (leafy seadragon), 6420 nucleotides long. It is a transcript of the gene named ADP-ribosylation factor-like 14 effector protein, with no coding region annotated. The record is from RefSeq and is a predicted model, not a curated record. The transcript has 6 exons. Lineage: Eukaryota; Metazoa; Chordata; Actinopteri; Syngnathiformes; Syngnathidae.
GUCACUCGGGGACCUCACAACAAAAGUCUAUGCACAAACCUUGUCUUUUCUUUUGCCUCGUUUUGGGUGUACACGACACCAUGCCCGUCACUUGUGCGUCAACGGGCUGCAACAAUAAGUUUGUAAAGGGGUCGGAAAUACGGUUUUAUCGGUUCCCUCUCAGCAAACCUUCACUUUCCGCCAAAUGGGUUCAGAAUCUGGGGUUGAGAAACUUCAUCCCGACUGCCAACACCUGCCUGUGCUCAGAGCAUUUUUCGCCUGAUUGCUUCAGGGACUACAAUGGGAAACAGUUUCUGAGGGAGGAUGCCGUGCCGACCGUGUUCCCUACUGGGCAAGACUUUUCAAAGAUUGAACUACGAAAACGAGCAACGAUGCCACUACCCAAGGAUAGCAGCAUAACAAAUUACAUGGGACCACAAGCAGAGAGGGACAAAGCAAGAGAGGUUUCCAGUGUACGUAGAGAAAAAAGAGGCAGCUCAAGAGGUGGACGAGGUGGCCGUGGUGGAAAACAACUGUCUGAUAGGCAGAGCCUUGGGGGCAAGAGCAGAGUUUACGACAGCAAAGGUCGACUAUUGUGCAAUGGCAAGGACAUGUGUGACUGUUUGGAUGUAGACUGCAUGGGUUGCUUCUACCCCUGCUCCGAUUGCAGCUCACGCAAAUGUGGAUUUGAGUGCCGCUGUGACAGGAAGUGGCUUUACGAGCAGAUGGAGGUGGAAGGAGGAGAGAUCAUCCGCAACAAGUUUGCUUUUUAGUAAAGCAAGGUAAAUUGUAUAUACACUAAUUGGCCACAAUCUAAUGAGAUCCAAUGGAGCUUUUUUGAACAAUUCUACACGUAUAAGAAAGUCACACUUUUCAAAGGCACUGUGAGAGAAGUACACAGAGAAGUGAGGCCGGAUUUGAACCCGGGUCCUCAGGACUGUGUAUCUACACAGAAAAUCACGGUUCUCAAAUACAGAAACCCUUUCAACAGUGUGCCUAUUGAUGCCACGAUCAGUUACUUUAGUUUUAGCUCACCCUAUCAUUACAGACAUUGGCCACUAAGCUGUCCAAGUGAGUGACAAUGAGGCAAGUCAUAGGUUGCGAUGGCAAUCUCACUUAUGAUGCCAAAUAAUUAUAAAAACAGUUAACAAACAACAACUGUGGAAAGAGGGAAAAUGAACCCACAGUCUAUUAACACUAUUAGGGGCUAAUUAACAGAAAAUGGAUGGAUGGAUAACAUUAUUAGCGAAAAAUUAACACUAACAAGAACACAGCAUUCCUACAACUAUUUACAAUGCCACUAGGCAUGCUGAAAAUUCCUCUGACAAUACAAUAUAAUUAAAAAAAAAAAAAAAAAAUUUUAAGUUAAUGUAAUCAAAUGUAAGCUCGGCUCUGUGUAGCAGAAAUACUGGAAGUUGGCUAUGGCAGUGGAAAAUCAGCAAGUCAAUCACGCUUGUUUCUUCGUGACCACGAACAAUGCUCAAACAUUGCUAAUUCUAUUCUGUGGAAGUGCCUGGAUGUGAGAUGCUUUGUGUACACUGUUAACCAGAGAGACUGGGCGUGCAGUGUGGUGACUCCUGGCCAGAGGGAGACAGUAAGUAAAAAAAUUUUUUAUUUUUUAUUUAGUUUCUGGUUUACAGCCCAGAACGGACGUCUCAGAUACUUUGUUUUUUCAAUUUCUUUACAAUCGUGUCGAUACAGCGGCUGAAAUAAGUAAUAAUUUAACACAUCACCAUUUUUCUCACUAAAUAUACUUCCAAAGGUGCUAUUGACCUGAAAAUUUCACCAGAUGUUGGGAACAACCCAGGUAAUCCAUACUUAUAUACAAACCAAGUAGAACAAAUAAGAUCCGAAUUUAAGUUGUAUGUAAAAAUGUGAAAUGACACAGGGGAAAAGUAUUAAACACAUUAAGAAAGGGCGGUGCAAAAAGGCUUGGAAAGCCAAGACAACACCUAAAAUCUAUCAAUAAUCAAUCAGCAAACCAGUCCCUUGUCAGUGCAAAUGAAUAUCAGCUGGUUCAAUCCUAAUUGAUGGCCUACAAAAAGUCUGCCAAGGUGUGAGUAAGUACGGUGGCCUGGAAGUGCAAAACAAUAUCACAAAUUGUAAAACACAUUUACAUUUCAGAAAACAAAAAACAAAAGACGUUUACAUUUCAGAAAACAUUAACAAAAGCACAAACACUUUUACAUUUCAGAAAACAAAUUGACAAAAACCGAAACACUUGUAUAUUUCAGAAAACACAUUAACAAAAGCACAAACACUUUUACAAAAGAUGAAACAAAUUACAAUUGAGACAAACCGGAAAGGGAAUUUCCAACAUUAUUAGGACGCCCACGCAUUUUCCUGGAAGGACAUGCCCUGCUCGAAUAUUAUUGGCUCCAGGACAUGCGCUGCUGCGCUAUGAUUGGCUGCUGUAUCCCAGUAGAACAACCCUUGUCCUUGCGCUUAGGUAGCACACAUACCCUAGACCUAAACCUAACCAUAAUAAACUUCUUUGUUUUAAAUUUUGUACAAAUCUGAUACAUAUUUGGUCUGGACAUCUCGUUACAUCUGCAUAGCCUACUCUUUCUGUGAUGCAGGAGCCAAUCAUGUUGAAGAGGGGCAGCUCUUGCCAAGGAAGGGCAUGGGAUUUCUAAGAAUGCAUGUUGGAAUUUUACAGGUCAGUCUGUGAUAUGGGACGUUCCCUUUCUGCUUUGUCUCAAUUGUAAUUUGUUUCGUCUUUUGCAAAAGUGUGUCUGCUUUUGUUAGUGUUUUUUCUGAAAUGUAAAAGUGUUUCUGGUUUUUAAAAUUUAUUUUCUGAAAUGUAAACGUGUUUCUGCUUUUUUAAAUUUAUUUUCUGAAAUGUGAAAGUGUUUCACAAUUUGUUAUAUUGUUUUGUACUUCCAAGCCACUGUAGAUAAGAGGAGAGAGCUGUGUCAAGGCCAUUGCAAAGUAAUUGUUGUAAAACAUAACGAUGGCAUUGGUUACAGGCACAUAUCUAAGCUUCUGAACGUUUCAGUGAGCAUGGUUGGGGCCCUAAUACGUAAGUGGAAAGCCAAUCAUACCACCAUAAAUUUGCCUCGAUCAGGUGCUCCUCGUAAGAUUUCUGACAGGAAUGAAAGGAUUAAUCAGAAAAGUUGUCCAAGAGCCAAGGACCACCUGUGGAGAGCUUCAAAAAGACCUGCAAUUAACAGGUACUGUUGGAAAAUGGCCUGUAUACAGGCUCAUUACCCAUUGUUGGAAAAAAAAAAGCAUGUCAAAGCUCAUUUAAAGUUUGCUGAACAACAUUUGGGCAAGCCAGUUAAAUACUAGCAGAAUAUAGUCUGGUCUGAUGAAAGCGAACUUGAACUAUUUGGAUACCUAAAUGCAAACCACGUUUGGAGGAGAAAUGGCACUGCACAUCACCCUAAAAACACCAUACCAACAGUGAAGUUUAGAGGUGGGAGCAUGAUGUUGUGGGGCUGCUUUCAGCAAAUGGUACUGGUAAACUUCACAUUGAAGGAAGGAUGAAUGGGCAAAUGUACCGAGACAUUCUUUACAAAAAUCUGCUGCCAUCGACGAGGAUGAUGAAAAUCAAACGAAGUUAGACAUUUCAGCAGGAUAAUGAUCCAAAACAUACUGCCAAGGAAACUCUCAAUUGGUUUCAAAGAACAAAAAUAAAGCUGUGAGAAUGACCUAGCCAAUCACCUGACUUGAAUCCAAUCGAAAAUAUACGAAAAGAACUGAAACUCAAAAUCCAUAAAAGAAGCCCAUGGAACCUUCAAGAUUUGAAGACCGCUUGUGUGGACAAAUGGGCCAAAAUCACACCAGAGCAAUGCGUGCGACUAGUUUCUCCAUACAGGAGGCGCCUUGAAGCUGUCAUUGCAAGCAAAGGCUUUUGUACAAAGUAUUAAAUAAAUACCAGUUGGUGUGUUCAAUAAUUUUCCGUGUCAUUUCACAUUAUUACACACAACUGAAUUUUUUAGCGCAUUUGUUCUACUUUAUUUGUAUGUAUGGAUUCCUUGGGUUGUUCCCACGAUCUGGUUAAAUUUUCAUGUCAAUAGCACCUUUGGAAAUAUAUUUAAUGUGAAAGAUUGUGAUGUGUUAAAUACUUACUUCAGCUGCUGUAAGUGUUCUAAAUAAAUAUCCCAGUUUUUGCCAUUGUAAUCGCUCCAAAUCAAAUCGUGUAUCGAACCAAGGGUCAAAAAUCAUGAUGCGUAUCAAAUCAUGACAUUGGUGUAUCGUUACAGCCCUAUUAUUUACAGUGGGGCAAAAAAGUAUUUAGUCAGCCACCAAUUGUGCAUGUUCUCCCACUUAAAAGAUGAGAGGCCUGUAAUUUUCAUCAUAGGUAUACCUCACCUAUGAGAGACAAAAGUAGAGAAAACAAAUAUCCAGAAAAUCACAUUUUCACACACACAUCACACUGAUUUCUAAAGAAUUUAUUUGCAAAUUAUGGUGGAAAAUAAGUGGUCAAUAACAGAAGGUCAUCUCAAUACUUUGUUGUAUAUCCUUUGUUGGCAAUGAAGUGAAACGUUUUCUGUAAGUCUUCACAAGGUUUUCACACACUGUUGCUGGUACUUUGGCCCAUUCCUCCAUGCAGAUCUCCUCUCGAGCAGUGAUGUUUUGGGACUGUCGCUGGGCAACACAGACUUUCAACUCUCUCCAAAGAUUUUCUUUGGGGUUGAGAUCUUCUUCGUUGGCGGGCGGUGUGUUUGGGAUCAUUAUCGUGCUGAAAGACCUAGCUAUGUUUCAUCUUCAAUGCCCUUACUGAUGGAAGGAGGUUUUCACUCAAAGUCUCACGAUACAUGGCCCCAUUCAUUAUUUCCUUUAUACGGAUCAGUCGUUCUGCUCCCUUUGCAGAAAAACAGCCCCAAAGCAUGAUGUUUCCACCCCCAUGCUUCACAGUAGGUAUUGUGUUCUUUGGACCCAGCUCAGCAUUCUUUCUCCUCUAAGCACAACAAGUUGAGUUUUUACCAAAAAGCUACAUUUUGGUUUCAUCUGACUAUGUGACAUUCUCCCAAUCCUCUUCUGGAUCAUCCAAAUUCUCUCUCGCAAACUUCAUACAGGCCUGGACAUGUACUGGCUUAAGCAGGGGGACACGUCUAGCACUGCAGGAUUUGAGUCCCUGGCGGUGUAGUGUUACUGAUGGUAGCCUUUGCUACUUUGGUCCCAGCUCUCUGCAGGUCAUUCACUCAGUGGGGACCGUGUGGUUCUGGAAUUUUUGCUCACCGUUCUUGCGAUCAUUUUGACCCCACGGGGUGAGAUUUUGCACGGAGUCCCAGAUCGGGGGAGAUUAUCAGUGGUUUUGUAGGUCUUCCAUUUUCUAAUGAUAGCUCCCACAGUUGAUUUCUUCACACCAAGUUGCUUACCUAUUGCAGAUUCCUGUCCUUUGACAUCCCUUUGGUCUUGGCCAUAGUGGAGUUUGGCUUGUGACUGUUGGCGGUUGUGGACAGGUGUCUUUUGUACUGAUGAGUUCAAACAGGUGCCAUUAAUACAGGUAACAAGUGAAAGACAGAGGAACCUCUUAAAGAAGACGUUACAGGUCUGUGAGAGCCAGAAAUCUUGGUUAUUUGUAGGUGACCAAAUACUUAUUUUCCACCCUAAUUUGCUAAUAAAUUAUUUUAAAAAAUAAGACAAUGUCGUUUUCUGAAUAUUAUUUUUCUCAUUUUGUCUCUCAUAGUUGAGGUAUACCUAUGAUGAAAAUUACAGGCCUCUCUCAUCUUUUUAAGUGCGAGAACUUGCACAAUUGGUGGCUGACUAAAUACUUUUUUACCCCACUAUAGCUACAGGAGAGGGGCAGAAUAUUAGAGCUUUUGUAUUGGGUCUCAUUAAAUUGUGUCAAGUGUACCUGAUAUUGUUGCCUAUAAGUGAUUGACUUGUUCUGUAAGGCUACAUCAAAGGAUGCUCGGAACCAAAACUUGUUCCUUCCAACAAUUCAGCUACACCCGGCUGUUGGGAGUAUGAAGGAGUCAGGACUGUUUUGUUUUUUUGAUGACAACAUGAAACAUUACUGCCCCUGUUAGAAGAGUAUGCAGUGCAAUAGAGACCACUCCCAGAGACCAGCUGAUGUACGUUCGUGAGUAGACACUGCAAGUGUUUGCCAGACUGAACGAUAUUAGUGCCUAAUAAUAUUGGGGAAGUUACUAGCUUCAGACAAAAUCUCCACUUUGUCCUCUCUCCCUCUCUCUCUCCCAUCCACACUGGAUGCAUUAAACGCUCACACUUUCAACUUUAGUCCAACACACGAUCUUCUAUUUCCCUUUUCAUACGCCUAUUUUCUUUCUUUCGCCAUUAUUGGUGUUAUUUUCUUUCUUUAGUUAGACCCCUUUGUGUUUUUCCCUCUAGAUCCCUUGUAGAUGUCAUUAAAUAGUCUAUAAAAUUGCACUCUUGGUUGUGUUUUGUGUGUGUUCUGAGUUUAAGUAAGCCUCUGUCAUCUAGAACUAAAAACUAUAAAAUGUAGCAACCUUCAUAUUACGAGACUGA